UAGCCUAUAUUUACAGUGAAAAUGUAAGC
This 29-nucleotide non-coding RNA is filed under the name Homo sapiens (human). Lineage: Eukaryota; Metazoa; Chordata; Mammalia; Primates; Hominidae. The record is from RNAcentral.